Molecule: ribosomal RNA, 513 nt
Filed under: uncultured bacterium
Lineage: Bacteria
Description: partial 16S ribosomal RNA
Rfam family: Bacterial small subunit ribosomal RNA
Source: RNAcentral
GACGAACGCUGGCGGCAUGCCUAAUACAUGCAAGUCGAGCGAACAGAUGAAGUGCUUGCACUUCUGACGUUAGCGGCGAACGGGUGAGUAACACGUAAGGAAUCUACCUAUAAGCGGGGGAUAACAUUCGGAAACGGGUGCUAAUACCGCAUAAUAUCUUCUUCCGCAUGAAAGAGGAUUGAAAGACGGCUCUGCUGUCACUUAUAGAUGACCUUGCGGUGCAUUAGUUAGUUGGUGGGGUAACGGCCUACCAAGACGAUGAUGCAUGGCCGACCGGUGAGGGUGAUCGGCCACAUUGGGACUGAGACACGGCCCAAACUCCUACGGGAGGCAGCAGUAGGGAAUCUUCCGCAAUGGGCGAAAGCCUGACGGAGCAAUGCCGCGUGAGUGAAGAAGGCCUUCGGGUCGUAAAACUCUGUUAUAAGAGAAGAACAAAUUGUAGAGUAACUGCUACAGUCUUGACGGUAUCUUAUCAGAAAGCCACGGCUAACUACGUGCCAGCAGCCGCGGUAA